CGCCGGUCAUUAGCUGAAAGCUGUUCAAAUAAUUCUUCUAGUCCAGGGCCUAUAAAAUAAUCACCAGCAUUACCUCGUGCUAGAGCUAUUCCAGGAGCCCCAGGGAACAAAGCUUCAAACCCACCAUUUCCAGACACCCUAAAAGGAGUUUGGCCACCAAAAAUCAACAGAGGACCAAACCGUGGACUAUGUUCAGGAAUUGAACCCGAUCUCAUUCUGACGUCAUGGCUUCUGUCUGCCAAUCGCUGCCUCAUCAAGGCUGAGAAAGCUUCCAUAAGGCCAAAUCUUUGGUCACGAUCAUCGUGACCUUCCAAUUCAAAGAAAUCCAAUGGGCUGAAUUGCACCAUAUUGUCAAGUUCUUGAACAAAUCCUCCACUACAAUAGGGGCAAACUGCAUCUUGCCCAUGCAGACAAACUGGCCGCCUGCAUCUGUAACACCAGUGGGUAUUUCUACCACUUGACAUUCUCUCUUCUCCUAGCUCCGGUCUCAAAUCUCUAAACCUGACUCGCUGUAAGCACUCAGGCUAAAAUCGACACAUUCACUAUCAGUCUGCACAGAAAUGCAGCAACUAAAGGAGCGAGAGCGGAGUGGAACCC
This 597-nucleotide unclassified non-coding RNA is filed under the name Hevea brasiliensis (rubber tree). Lineage: Eukaryota; Viridiplantae; Streptophyta; Magnoliopsida; Malpighiales; Euphorbiaceae. The record is from RNAcentral.